CGGCAGUCGGGGCGGUGGUUUUGGGUGACGGAGUCCGUGGCCUGCUGCGCUUCGGUGAACUUCUUUGUCUUGGUGCGCAGGCCGCGGCGCGCACCCUGCGGAGGAGGUGUGCUGGCGGCGCUCUGAGCCUGUGCGUUUGCGGACGGAGACUUGUGGAAGAAAUGGCAAUAAACGAGCGUGGUUACAGAGGCUUCACUGGAGAGAGUGGCGCCACCAAGCGCCUUUCCUGAGAACUACACUCAGCAUCUCAGCCUCAAAACCACCUGAGCUUUGAAUCGUGUCUAGAGGGCACAAGCCAGUGGAGUAGUAGGCAGAAGGCAAAGGAGAAGCAGGCUCUCCGCCGAACAGGGAAC
This is a long non-coding RNA of Enhydra lutris kenyoni (northern sea otter), 353 nucleotides long. RefSeq lists it as uncharacterized. The record is from RefSeq and is a predicted model, not a curated record. Lineage: Eukaryota; Metazoa; Chordata; Mammalia; Carnivora; Mustelidae. The transcript is spliced from 3 exons.